GAGUGCAUAGCUUAAUUGGAUAAAGCAACCGACUUUUAAUCGGUGGAUUCGGGGUUCAAGUCCUCGUACACUUA
RNAcentral lists this transfer RNA (74 nucleotides) under Blastocystis sp. ATCC 50177/Nand II. RNAcentral describes it as "tRNA-Lys". It matches the Rfam family "tRNA". From Rfam's summary of the family: Transfer RNA (tRNA) molecules are approximately 80 nucleotides in length. Their secondary structure includes four short double-helical elements and three loops (D, anti-codon, and T loops). Lineage: Eukaryota; Bigyra; Opalinata; Blastocystidae. The record is from RNAcentral. RNAcentral also lists the same sequence under 1 other name.